This 401-nucleotide ribosomal RNA is filed under the name Escherichia coli. Its description in RNAcentral is "partial 23S ribosomal RNA". It matches the Rfam family "Bacterial large subunit ribosomal RNA", at positions 947 to 1345 of the family's 2925-position model. Lineage: Bacteria; Pseudomonadati; Pseudomonadota; Gammaproteobacteria; Enterobacterales; Enterobacteriaceae. The record is from RNAcentral.
UUGCAAACUCCGAAUACCAAUGAGUACUACUCGGGAGACAGACGGCGGGUGCUAACGUCCGUCGUCAAAAGGGAAACAACCCAGACCGUCAGCUAAGGUCCCAAAGUGUAUGUUAAGUGGGAAACGAUGUGGGAAGGCUUAGACAGCUAGGAUGUUGGCUUAGAAGCAGCCAUCAUUUAAAGAAAGCGUAAUAGCUCACUAGUCGAGUCGGCCUGCGCGGAAGAUGUAACGGGGCUAAACAUACCACCGAAGCUACGGGUGCAAUUCAUUAGAGUUGCGCGGUAGAGGAGCGUUCUGUAAGCCGUUGAAGGUGAAGGGGUAACCCACACUGGAGGUAUCAGAAGUGCGAAUGCUGACAUGAGUAACGAUAAAGGGGGUGAAAAACCCCCUCGCCGAAAGAC